ACAUAAUCCCAUUUAUUUUUCCUUUCCAUCGUCACUACUAUUUUUCAAUUCCCGCUUAUUCAAAAUCGCAACCCCAAAUUGUUUGAAAAAAAAAUCUCAACCCCAAAUCGGAGCUAAAUCACACGCUAAAUCGGAAUGCGCUAUAUCGGAAUUGAAUCACGCUUCUUCUUCACUCGCACGUUUGUUCCAUUCUGAGCAAAAUCGAAGCUGAAUCUUCUUCGGAGCAUGAAGAUUUCGUCACUGUAAGUGAAAACCUCUCUCUCUCUCUCUCUCUAUUUUGUUCUUCUCUGAGAUUACAUUGUUGCUGAGAUUUUUCUACAUGUGAUUUGCGAUUUGUGGAAUAUAAUGUUCAUCUUCGUUUUUCAUUCUGUUGUCUAAUUGCGUGUUAGUGAUUUUCGUUGCUGAGAUUUUUUUGCGUUUUGAUUAAAUAAUCUGAUAUUUCAAGUGAUUUUUGCAAACGUGGUAUCUGAUAUUAGUAAAUAAUCUGUUGAUUGGUCUGUUAGUGAGACUUAAUUGAGAAAUUAGGGUUAAGAGUGGAAAUUGAACUGUAUUGACAUGAAAUAUAUUCUAUUAUCCAUCGGUUUACUACAUGGUAAGACAACAGAAAAUUAUCAGUAGAUGCAAAACCUCGAACAAUCAAUUUCAGUUAACAGCAAACAUAUUCUUACUCUUGAUGUUGGCUGGAUCUUGCGAUUGGAUCUCCGAGGCUGGACAUGAAAUAUAUUCUAUUAUCCAUCUUCAGCAAACAUAUUCUUACUCUUGAGGGUGGGUCAAUGUGAUCUAGAUGAGAUCUUUCUAGUGAUUUCCAUCUUGGAUAUGAUUUAGAUAAUGAUCCGAUGCUUUGGUGUUAUAUGGUAUUAAAACAUACCUUUAUGAAAUUUUUAGUGUGUUUCCAUCUUGGAUAUGAAAGGAAGUAAAAACAAUGUGAUACAUUUGUAAUUUUAACCAAAACCGGAUAUAGAAAAUGUUUUCUCAACCGAAUAAGCCCUCGACAUACUAAUGUUAUAUACUGUAUAAUCCCUGUAUCAGUGAAGUGGCUCUCUUCUAUUGCCACACAAUGAUAGGUUUGUUGGCUAACAGUUGAUGUGAGUCUACAUUGACAGUUUUAGAAUAACGCUUUAGACAUGAUGUCUUGCUUCCCCUGUAUACGGUACUGUUUUAUGGAUAUUAAACAGUUCCAGAUGACCUGUGCCAUGGCUAGAGCUAGACUAGACUGUUAACAAAAUUUUGAUCAUUCUUCCCCUUUUCUAAAUAACAGUAUGCUAAAUCCUCGUCUUCGUUUUGCUCCCAUAAACACACAUGUAAAAGUUCGAGGAGUUGUCCUUAUUCUUGAAAAAAAUUCUAAUAUAACAUGAUUCAUGAAUGCUCCUUUAUAAUUAUGCUAUAUGGACUAGUGUGACCAGGUUGUAAAAGGCUUUCAUGGCCCCUUCCAUUACAUCAAUAUGAGAAAAUUUCAGUGUUCCAUCUUAUACUUCGUUUUACUUCAAGACAAUUCCUUAAGCUUGAGCUGAAUUAUUUAAUUUUUCUACAUCUCACUUUCUAUCUCAUUAUUGUAAUUGGAUAAUAUAGCUGCUGUACGUGAGCGCAAGUCAAAUGGAUACUUGCUUAUUGCAACGAGUGGAGGACUAAACCAA
Molecule: long non-coding RNA, 1634 nt
Filed under: Trifolium pratense (red clover)
Lineage: Eukaryota; Viridiplantae; Streptophyta; Magnoliopsida; Fabales; Fabaceae
Description: long non-coding RNA (TPRA_LNC000827)
Source: RNAcentral